This 78-nucleotide transfer RNA is filed under the name Bacteroides sp. RNAcentral describes it as "tRNA-Val". It matches the Rfam family "tRNA". Rfam says of the family: Transfer RNA (tRNA) molecules are approximately 80 nucleotides in length. The record is from RNAcentral. RNAcentral also lists the same sequence under 3 other names. Lineage: Bacteria; Pseudomonadati; Bacteroidota; Bacteroidia; Bacteroidales; Bacteroidaceae.
GGGCGAUUAGCUCAGCUGGUUUAGAGCGUCUGCCUUACAAGCAGAGGGUCUGCGGUUCGAAUCCGUAAUCGCCCACCA